This 261-nucleotide long non-coding RNA is filed under the name Phoenix dactylifera (date palm). RNAcentral describes it as "long non-coding RNA (PDAC_LNC007213)". Lineage: Eukaryota; Viridiplantae; Streptophyta; Magnoliopsida; Arecales; Arecaceae. The record is from RNAcentral.
AAUCAAAGCUUCUUAAACAAGCAAAUAUAACAAUAUAAACAAAAUAGUGUAAAGAGAAGCUCUCAAACGAAUUUUGAAGAUGAAGGAACUCGGCUUCUUCUUUACUUGACCCUCUUCUAAUUUGGCACGAGGUAGAGGAUGAUUGAGGCAGCACACGGAUGGAGAGGAAGCUUUGGGAUUCACUUGGAUGCUCUUCUUCUCUCUAUUUCACUUUGGAUGGCCCUUUUGUGCUUAUGGGAGAUUUCCCUUGUAAUCUCUUUG